AUUGAACGCUGGCGGAAUGCUUUACACAUGCAAGUCGAACGGCAGCACGGACUUCGGUCUGGUGGCGAGUGGCGAACGGGUGAGUAAUGUAUCGGAACGUGCCCAGUCGUGGGGGAUAACGUAGUGAAAAUUACGCUAAUACCGCAUACGAUCUAUGGAUGAAAGCGGGGGAUCGCAAGACCUCGCGCGAUUGGAGCGGCCGGUAUCAGAUUAGGUAGUUGGUGGGGUAAAGGCCCACCAAGCCAACGAUCUGUAGCUGGUCUGUGAGGACGACCAGCCACACUGGAACUGAGACACAGUCCAGACUCCUACGGGAGGCAGCAGUGGGGAAUUUUGGACAAUGGGCGAAAGCCUGAUCCAGCCAUUCCGCGUGCAGGAUGAAGGCCCUCGGGUUGUAAACUGCUUUUGUACAGAACGAAAAGGUUUCUACUAAUACUAGGAGCUCAUGACGGUACUGUAAGAAUAAGCACCGGCUAACUACGUGCCAGCCGCCGCAGUAA
This 500-nucleotide ribosomal RNA is filed under the name uncultured bacterium. RNAcentral describes it as "partial 16S ribosomal RNA". It matches the Rfam family "Bacterial small subunit ribosomal RNA", at positions 30 to 523 of the family's 1533-position model. The record is from RNAcentral.